Non-coding RNA from Dama dama (fallow deer), 73 nucleotides. Lineage: Eukaryota; Metazoa; Chordata; Mammalia; Artiodactyla; Cervidae. The record is from the annotation of a RefSeq genome assembly.
UCCCUGGUGGCUCAGAGGGUAAAGCAUCUGCCUGUGAUGCAGGAGACCCAGGUUCAAUCCCUGGGUUAGGAAG